GGAGAUUUAGCUCAGUGGUAGAGUGCUUGCCUAACAAGUGCAAGGCCCUGGGUUCGGUCCCCAGCUCCG
RNAcentral lists this transfer RNA (69 nucleotides) under Rattus norvegicus (Norway rat). It matches the Rfam family "tRNA". From Rfam's summary of the family: Transfer RNA (tRNA) molecules are approximately 80 nucleotides in length. Lineage: Eukaryota; Metazoa; Chordata; Mammalia; Rodentia; Muridae. The record is from Rfam by way of RNAcentral.